RNAcentral lists this ribosomal RNA (465 nucleotides) under uncultured bacterium. RNAcentral's name for it is "partial 16S ribosomal RNA". It matches the Rfam family "Bacterial small subunit ribosomal RNA", at positions 28 to 507 of the family's 1533-position model. The record is from RNAcentral.
GACGAACGCUGGCGGCGUGCUUAACACAUGCCAGUCGAACGGAAAGGCCCUGCUUGCAGGGUACUCGAGUGGCGAACGGGUGAGUAACACGUGGGUGAUCUGCCCUUCACUUCGGGAUAAGCCUGGGAAACUGGGUCUAAUACCGGAUAGGAGCCAUUUUUAGUGUGAUGGUUGGAAAGUUUUUUCGGUGUAGGAUGAGCUCGCGGCCUAUCAGCUUGUUGGUGGGGUAAUGGCCUACCAAGGCGGCGACGGGUAGCCGGCCUGAGAGGGUGGACGGCCACAUUGGGACUGAGAUACGGCCCAGACUCCUACGGGAGGCAGCAGUGGGGAAUAUUGCACAAUGGGCGCAAGCCUGAUGCAGCGACGCCGCGGGGGGGAUGACGGCCUUCGGGUUGUAAACUCCUUUCGCUAGGGACGAAGCUUUUUGUGACGGUACCUAGAGAAGAAGCACCGGCUAACUACGUG